This 116-nucleotide ribosomal RNA is filed under the name Klebsiella pneumoniae. The record is from RNAcentral. Lineage: Bacteria; Pseudomonadati; Pseudomonadota; Gammaproteobacteria; Enterobacterales; Enterobacteriaceae. RNAcentral also lists the same sequence under 1 other name.
CUUGGCGGCACUAGCGCGGUGGUCCCACCUGACCCCAUGCCGAACUCAGAAGUGAAACGCCGUAGCGCCGAUGGUAGUGUGGGGUCUCCCCAUGUGAGAGUAGGGAACUGCCAGGC